GCGUAACGCACUUCUUGGGCGUUUCCUCCCUAGACUCGGGCCGUCCCCUGUGGGCGGCCCUUUUUCUUUGGAAAU
This 75-nucleotide small RNA is filed under the name Azospirillum lipoferum. Its description in RNAcentral is "suhB". It matches the Rfam family "Makes More Granules Regulator RNA (mmgR)". From Rfam's summary of the family: SuhB later renamed mmgR (makes more granules regulator) was a putative non-coding RNA found multiple times in the Agrobacterium tumefaciens genome and related alpha-proteobacteria. Other non-coding RNAs uncovered in the same analysis include: speF, ybhL, metA, and serC. The record is from RNAcentral. Lineage: Bacteria; Pseudomonadati; Pseudomonadota; Alphaproteobacteria; Rhodospirillales; Azospirillaceae.